AGUGAACGCUGGCGGUAGGCCUAACGCAUGCAAGUCGAACGGCAGCACAGUAAGAGCUUGCUCUUACGGGUGGCGAGUGGCGGACGGGUGAGGAAUACAUCGGAAUCUACUUUUUCGUGGGGGAUAACGUAGGGAAACUUACGCUAAUACCGCAUACGACCUACGGGUGAAAGCAGGGGAUCUUCGGACCUUGCGCGAUUGAAUGAGCCGAUGUCGGAUUAGCUAGUUGGCGGGGUAAAGGCCCACCAAGGCGACGAUCCGUAGCUGGUCUGAGAGGAUGAUCAGCCACACUGGAACUGAGACACGGUCCAGACUCCUACGGGAGGCAGCAGUGGGGAAUAUUGGACAAUGGGCGCAAGCCUGAUCCAGCCAUACCGCGUGGGUGAAGAAGGCCUUCGGGUUGUAAAGCCCUUUUGUUGGGAAAGAAAAGCAGCAGGUUAAUACCCCGCUGUUCUGACGGUACCCAAAGAAUAGGCACCGGCUAACUUCGUG
RNAcentral lists this ribosomal RNA (492 nucleotides) under uncultured bacterium. Its description in RNAcentral is "partial 16S ribosomal RNA". It matches the Rfam family "Bacterial small subunit ribosomal RNA", at positions 29 to 507 of the family's 1533-position model. The record is from RNAcentral.